RNAcentral lists this long non-coding RNA (348 nucleotides) under Trifolium pratense (red clover). Its description in RNAcentral is "long non-coding RNA (TPRA_LNC007324)". Lineage: Eukaryota; Viridiplantae; Streptophyta; Magnoliopsida; Fabales; Fabaceae. The record is from RNAcentral.
GCAAGAGUUACAUGCCUCAUAUAUAUAGGAAUGGCUUAUAAUGAUGUAAUAAGCAAAAAGUAACUCCUAAGAAAACAAAAGGAUUUCAGCUACUAACUAUCAUGAUAGUGGGGCUGAAUUAUUACAAGGAAAAUGUGCAAAAUAAAAGAAGAGAUAGUGGUGCUCUUUUAUUGCUUGGUGCACCACUUUCAUAUGCUUAGUGGAGGAUCUCUUCAUUUUCCACUAUCGCAUGCUUGGAUGAUAAUCUUCAACUUUGGAUCUUUUUAUUCCAUGACCGAAAUAAUUCUUCUUGUUAAGGGAUAGAAUUUUAGGAUCACAUCAUUCCCUCCCUCUUCAAGAUAAUUCGAC